Molecule: long non-coding RNA, 411 nt
Filed under: Rattus norvegicus (Norway rat)
Lineage: Eukaryota; Metazoa; Chordata; Mammalia; Rodentia; Muridae
Description: long non-coding RNA NONRATT019009
Source: RNAcentral
AAGGAUCAGCCAUCAGCACGCUUCCUGUCAUGUGACCUCUUAAGUUCCUCCUUCCUGACAGCCUCUGGGGGGCAGGCAUUGGGACUCCAAAGUGGCUUGAGACUGAACUUGCCGCUAAAGUCACCUCCUCAGUCAAGUUUGUCCGUCAAGAGCAGGCCUUCAUGCUCCGGUUCAAAUCAUACCCACUCUCCCUUAACUCCGGUGACAACCACCCCCUUGCUACAGAUACGCUCCACUAAUCAAAGACCUCAGUGAGGAGCGAGAGAUGAAGGAGAUGGCCUCAGAAGUGGCAGAGUCACGACUGGCUACAGAGAUACACGUCCACACCGAUGCAAGAGGGUCCUGUUAGCUGAGGCUGUGGACCCAGACACAGUUCCGAUACUUACUCAGGAACAAAGAGCUGACAUCAUA